Molecule: long non-coding RNA, 876 nt
Filed under: Anas platyrhynchos platyrhynchos (common mallard)
Lineage: Eukaryota; Metazoa; Chordata; Aves; Anseriformes; Anatidae
Description: lncRNA (ENSAPLG00000029725.1)
Source: RNAcentral
CCAAAAACAAAAAUUCAUGGCUAAUUAUCCACCUGAUGUAAAGGACCCAAUCCAAAUUUAUGCCACUCUGGCAGAAGAAGAGGGUAUUUAACUGUGAGCAAUGCUGAAUGUGAAUGAAGUGUUAGGCUUAUGAAAAUUAGUGAGAAUUUAGGAGACUAAAGCUGUUUGAAGAUUUUAAAGGUGCCUUGAUAAACAAUGUAAAAGGAAAUAAAUUCAUAUUUAGUACAUUAUGCCUUCUAAGAUCUACAAAUUUCUAAGUUGAGGUUAACUGUAUGCCAUGCUUUUGCUAAACAGAUGAUCAUAUCAAACAGCCAAGACACACCUGUUGGUGUUUCAACAAGGAUGCUUCAGAAAUGCUGUAUGAACAAAACCAGGAGGAUAAAUUUUCACAGGUGCAGCUGCCCAGGUGCUGACAGUGGGGCUACUGUGUGGCCGUUGAAUGAAGCGAUGCCAGGGCUGCCCCAUGCCGACCCCAAGGGCCCCACUGCAGGACACAGCCGGGCCCCUCACCCAAGAUGGCAGCGCCUCAGGAAAGCCAGAGGAAGGGAGGGCAAACACCGCACAGCAGGGGGCGGUGAGGGGAGCGGUGUGAGGAACGGCCCUGCACAGAUGGCAAAGAGAGGAGAGGGAGCAGCAAGAGUUGUCCUGGCUGUCAAGAUUUCCCUGAAGCUUGUGCAGAGACCAUGUUGGAGCAGGUAUUCAUGUUGCAGCCAUGAAGAACCCCACACUGGAGCAGAUGUAUGUAUCAUGAAUGCAGCUGCAGUCCAUGGGAAGGACUCAUGUGGGAGCAAGGGAGAAAGUGUGAAGAGGGAGGUGCUGUUAUGGACUGACCACAACCCCUAUUGUCCAUGCCCCUACAUCUCUCAGAGGAGGUAG